CUGAAUUGAAAUUAUUGCUAGCUGUUACUCUGUGCAUUUUACAGGUGAGCUGGAACACAAGAAGUCUGGAGCAACAGCAUAUCCAGUGAACUGUGAAGAGCUCUCCUUGAAAGCCCCAGUAGUCAGCGAAUGCAGAUUGUAGUUUUGUCUGAGAUUGCAUAUGUGACUAAUACAGCAACCUAUUUUGAGGAAUUCAUCGCUGUCUUUUGAUCUUCUGCUGAAGUCCAUUAUGUAGAAGAAAGCAUUACCUGUUGUUGACCCAGAGGUAAAAAUGCCAGCAGUCAACUUGCAUAAU
RNAcentral lists this long non-coding RNA (295 nucleotides) under Apteryx owenii (little spotted kiwi). RNAcentral describes it as "lncRNA (ENSAOWG00000006233.1)". The record is from RNAcentral. Lineage: Eukaryota; Metazoa; Chordata; Aves; Apterygiformes; Apterygidae.